GGUUCUAUGGUGUAAUGGUUAGCACUCUGGACUCGCAAUCCAGUGAUCCGAGUUCAAAUAUAAGUAGGACCU
RNAcentral lists this transfer RNA (72 nucleotides) under Danionella translucida. It matches the Rfam family "tRNA". From Rfam's summary of the family: Transfer RNA (tRNA) molecules are approximately 80 nucleotides in length. Their secondary structure includes four short double-helical elements and three loops (D, anti-codon, and T loops). Further hydrogen bonds mediate the characteristic L-shaped molecular structure. tRNAs have two regions of fundamental functional importance: the anti-codon, which is responsible for specific mRNA codon recognition, and the 3' end, to which the tRNAs corresponding amino acid is attached (by aminoacyl-tRNA synthetases). tRNAs cope with the degeneracy of the genetic code in two manners: having more than one tRNA (with a specific anti-codon) for a particular amino acid; and 'wobble' base-pairing, i.e. permitting non-standard base-pairing at the 3rd anti-codon position. RNAcentral also lists the same sequence under 1 other name. Lineage: Eukaryota; Metazoa; Chordata; Actinopteri; Cypriniformes; Danionidae. The record is from Rfam by way of RNAcentral.